This 443-nucleotide ribosomal RNA is filed under the name uncultured bacterium. Its description in RNAcentral is "partial 16S ribosomal RNA". It matches the Rfam family "Bacterial small subunit ribosomal RNA", at positions 338 to 795 of the family's 1533-position model. The record is from RNAcentral.
CCUACGUGAGGCUGCAGUGGGGAAUAUUGGGCAAUGGGCGCAAGCCUGACCCAGCAACGCCGCGUGACGGAAGAAGGCUUUCGGGUUGUAAACUUCUUUUGUCAGGGACGAAGCAAGUGACGGUACCUGACGACUAAGCCACGGCUAACUACGUGCCAGCAGCAGCGGUAAUACGUAGGUGGCAAGCGUUAUCCGGAGUUACUGGGUGUAAAGGGCGUGUAGGCGGGACUGCAAGUCAGAUGUGAAAACCACGGGCUCAACCUGUGGCCUGCAUUUGAAACUGUAGUUCUUGAGUACUGGAGAGGCAGACGGAAUUCCUAGUGUAGCGGUGAAAUGCGUAGAUAUUAGGAGGAACACCAGUGUCGAAGGCGGUCUGCUGGACAGCAACUGACGCUGAGGCGCGAAAGCGUGGGGAGCAAACAGGAUUAGAUACCCGAGUAGUC